GCUUUAACAUGGAGGUACCUGCUGCCUAAAAAAAGUAAGUGCUUCCAUGUUUCAGUGG
Molecule: microRNA precursor, 58 nt
Filed under: Alligator mississippiensis (American alligator)
Lineage: Eukaryota; Metazoa; Chordata; Crocodylia; Alligatoridae
Description: Ami-Mir-430-P2_pre stem-loop
Rfam family: mir-302 microRNA precursor family
Source: RNAcentral